RNAcentral lists this long non-coding RNA (900 nucleotides) under Oryctolagus cuniculus (rabbit). RNAcentral's name for it is "lncRNA (ENSOCUG00000038177.1)". The record is from RNAcentral. Lineage: Eukaryota; Metazoa; Chordata; Mammalia; Lagomorpha; Leporidae.
CAACCGUGGGGUUUCCUCCCCAGCUCUCGUCUCCCGGCGCCCAGGGGAGAAGUCUGGACGGCGGCGGCCGUGGCGGGAGCGAGCGGCCUCGGCUCCUCCCUAGAGGUGGCGGCGCGAUCGUGGGCUGCGGGCGCCACCUCUGCUGCAUCGGUGGCUGCGCGCUCCGCUCGACUCGGGCCGGCCCCGAUCCCGCCGCGCUGCCUUCGCCUCCGCCGCCGCCGGCCGGCAGCUUUCUUCCAGCGAGACCGGCGUUCGAUCCUCCCCCCACCCCCAGCUUUACGGAUUUCCGGGGGCGAAGAAUUUUGCCUCGGUCCCUGCCAGCAUCCCUCGGCCUCUCUCCCCCUCCCCUCAGACUCCCCCACCCCGUGGGCGCGCGCGCGCGCGCGCACACACACCCUCACACACACACUCACACUCGCAGGCGCGCGUGCGCACGCCCGCGCGCCCCGAGCCGCGGAGUCUCCAGCGCCCCUCGGCAGAUCCCCUCUCCCGGGCGCGCCGCUACUCACACAGGCUUCCAGCCGCCACGGGGCGUCCUCUGUCUGCAGCAGCGGCGGCCGAGGGGACGGCGGCCGCAGCCCGGCCCGUCGCGCAGCUUCGUGCCCGGGACAGACUCCGGGAGAAGCCGAGGAGGAGGAGGACGCCGAGGCUAGGAGGAGCCGUGCCGCGCCCGGCGCCCGGCUCCGCGCGGCAGGCUGCCUUGGUUCCCCGGACCGCGGCCCCAGAAUUUUUGAAAGCAGCUUGAAUCUGAUUGGCUCCCCCAGGAUCUCAACUCCUGUUACAUUUGUGGCAUUUCUUUCUUCGGAGAGAGGGAUCUGCCAUUGCUAGCUGGCAUGCCAGGUGUUUUGCAGCCAGUGUGAGGAGAGAGAAAGAGAGAGAGAGAACGAAUAUCACGCUCAG